RNAcentral lists this microRNA (21 nucleotides) under Corchorus capsularis. RNAcentral describes it as "sRNA CCACVL1_00610". The record is from RNAcentral. Lineage: Eukaryota; Viridiplantae; Streptophyta; Magnoliopsida; Malvales; Malvaceae.
AUAUAUACACACACACAUACA